UUUCUGAGCUGCCCCCGAACCACGCGGUUGAUUUGCAGGCAUCCGCCAAGGCCUCCCCAAGGUAGCGCCACACCCAGGACAGGGCCCCGGGCCCUCCGCAGCGCUGGCGCCGUGCUGAUGACGUAGAGGGUCAGGCGCCCGACGGGGCGGGGCUAUUGGACCUCAACCCCGGACUCGAGUGACUACGGGAGCGUUCACACCUCCUCUUUUCUUCCCGCGCCGCGGACAGGAUUUAGGGCGCCAGAAACACCCUGCAGAGGGAGCCAGGGAUAUUGACUCGUGAUGGCGGAGAGGAAACCGUGGCCCUGGCCGAGUCCUUCAGUAACAAAAGUUACCUGUAAUAAUAGUAAUAGUAGUCAUAUAUACGGAGCGUUAACUUUGCUCUUUUCUUCCAUUAGUUCCUUUCUUUAUGAAGUAGGCUUUUGAGGCUGGUAGGUAUGUUCUUAUCCCGUAUUAACAGAUGAGGUAACUGAGACUCUCAGAGAACUGAGCUUACUUGCGCACAGUUGACAAGUGGUCAAGUUAGAAUUGGAACCCAAGUUUGUUCUCCUUACACGACACCAGCAACCUAUCAGAAGACCCUGCAGGAGCUUUUGGUUAAUCAAGUCUUGAGAGUUCCUCGUUCAUUCAUUUAUUUACUGAGCACCGCUAUGUACCAGGCCCAGUUGACCCUAGGGAAACAGUAGAAACAAGACACGGUGCCUGCUCAUGGAUCUUCCUUUCUGAAAACAGAAGCAGAAAAUAAACAGGGAGAAAUUCAGAGUUUGUGGAUGCUAAGAAGAAAGUAAACAGGAUGCUGAGUGAAUCCCAUUUCACCUUGAAGCAGCAUGAACUGGAAUACCCCAUUACUGGCGACUGGUCAGAAAAUCCUCGUCUCCUCAGUGAGGCACACUUAUUUCAGUUCAGAAGAGUAUAAAGUGAAAUGAAGUCCCUCUGCUACCCAUACCAUGGCCCUCCGCCCCUUCCCAGAGGAAACGGAUUAACAGCAACACGCUCCCCCCUUUGGCACAGCCGGAACAAAGAAGAGGAAGCCUGAGCCCGUACCGGAGACAUUUGAGGACCAUGUCCAAAUCCACCAGGUA
This is a long non-coding RNA of Vicugna pacos (alpaca), 1082 nucleotides long. RefSeq lists it as uncharacterized. The record is from RefSeq and is a predicted model, not a curated record. Lineage: Eukaryota; Metazoa; Chordata; Mammalia; Artiodactyla; Camelidae.